CCUACGGGAGGCAGCAGUGAGGAAUAUUGGUCAAUGGGCGCAAGCCUGAACCAGCAAUGCCGCGUGUAGGACGAAGGGGCUUCGCCCUGUAAACUACUGUCAGAUGGGUUGAAAAGGAAGCUAAGCUUCUGGAGACGGUACCAUCAGAGGAAGGGACGGCUAACUACGUGCCAGCAGCCGCGGUAAUACGUAGGUCCCGAGCGUUGUCCGGAUUUACUGGGUAUAAAGGGUGCGUAGGCGGUUUUGUGCGUCAGAGGUGAAAGGUCAGUGCUUAACAUUGAUACUGCCUUUGAAACGGCGGAACUUGAGUAUGAGAGAGGUUUGUAGAAUUCCUGGUGUAGCGGUGAAAUGCGUAGAUAUCAGGAGGAAUACCGGUGGCGAAGGCGGCAAACUGGCUCAUAACUGACGCUGAGGCACGAAAGCGUGGGGAUCAAACAGGAUUAGAUACCCUGGUAGUCCACGCCUUAAACGAUGUAUGCUUGGUGUUGGUGCAGUGAUGCAUCAGUGCCGUAGGAAAUCUGAUAAGCAUACCACCUGGGGAGUACGAUCGCAAGGUUGAAACUCAAA
This 567-nucleotide ribosomal RNA is filed under the name uncultured bacterium. RNAcentral describes it as "bacterial SSU rRNA". It matches the Rfam family "Bacterial small subunit ribosomal RNA", at positions 338 to 905 of the family's 1533-position model. The record is from RNAcentral.